This 496-nucleotide ribosomal RNA is filed under the name uncultured bacterium. RNAcentral's name for it is "partial 16S ribosomal RNA". It matches the Rfam family "Bacterial small subunit ribosomal RNA", at positions 30 to 523 of the family's 1533-position model. The record is from RNAcentral.
AUUGAACGCUGGCGGAAUGCUUUACACAUGCAAGUCGAACGGUAGAGGGGGCAACCCCUCGAGAGUGGCGAACGGGUGAGUAAUAUAUCGGAACGUGCCCAGUCGUGGGGGAUAACGUAGCGAAAGUUACGCUAAUACCGCAUACGAUCUAAGGAUGAAAGCGGGGGAUCGCAAGACCUCGCGCGAUUGGAGCGGCCGAUAUCAGAUUAGGUAGUUGGUGGGGUAAAGGCUCACCAAGCCAACGAUCUGUAGCUGGUCUGAGAGGACGACCAGCCACACUGGAACUGAGACACGGUCCAGACUCCUACGGGAGGCAGCAGUGGGGAAUUUUGGACAAUGGACGCAAGUCUGAUCCAGCCAUUCCGCGUGCAGGAUGAAGGCCCUCGGGUUGUAAACUGCUUUUGUACGGAACGAAAAGGUCUCUCCUAAUACGAGGGGCUCAUGACGGUACCGUAAGAAUAAGCACCGGCUAACUACGUGCCAGCCGCCGCAGUAA